ACGCUCGACACCUACGGGAGACAGCAGUAGGGAAUCUUCCACAAUGGGCGCAAGCCUGAUGGAGCAACACCGCGUGAGUGAAGAAGGGUUUCGGCUCGUAAAGCUCUGUUGUUGGAGAAGAACGUGCGUGAGAGUAACUGCUCACGCAGUGACGGUAUCCAACCAGAAAGUCACGGCUAACUACGUGUCAGCAGCCGCGGUAAUCUGAGCGGCUGGCAAGGC
Molecule: ribosomal RNA, 222 nt
Filed under: uncultured bacterium
Lineage: Bacteria
Description: partial 16S ribosomal RNA
Rfam family: Bacterial small subunit ribosomal RNA
Source: RNAcentral